AGAGUUUGAUCCUGGCUCAGAAUCAACGCUGGCGGCGUGCCUAACACAUGCAAGUCGAACGAGAAAGUCCGCAAGGAUGAGUACAGUGGCGACCGGGUGAGUAACACGUGACUAACCUACCUCUUAGUGGGGAAUAACUCCGGGAAACCGGAGCUAAUACCGCAUAACAUCGCAAGAUCAAAGCCGAAAGGCGCUGGGAGAGGGGGUCGCGGCUGAUUAGCUAGUUGGUAGGGUAACGGCCUACCAAGGCGAAGAUCGGUAUCCGGCCUGAGAGGGCGCACGGACACACUGGAACUGAAACACGGUCCAGACUCCUACGGGAGGCAGCAGUGGGGAAUUUUGCGCAAUGGGGGAAACCCUGACGCAGCAACGCCGCGUGGAGGAUGAAGUCCCUUGGGAUGUAAACUCCUUUCGACCCGGACGAUACUGACGGUACGGGUGGAAGAAGCACCGGCUAACUCUGUGCCAGCCGCCGCGGUAAUAC
This 484-nucleotide ribosomal RNA is filed under the name uncultured bacterium. RNAcentral describes it as "bacterial SSU rRNA". It matches the Rfam family "Bacterial small subunit ribosomal RNA", at positions 8 to 526 of the family's 1533-position model. The record is from RNAcentral.